AUUGAACGCUGGCGGCAGGCCUAACACAUGCACGUCGAGCGAGCGGCGGACGGGUGAGUACUGUCUGGGAAACUGCCUGAUGGAGGGGGAUAACUACUGGAAACUGUAGCUAAUACCGCAUACCAUCAGAUGUGCCCAGAUGGGAUUAGCUAGUAGGUGGGGUAAUGGAUCACCUAGGCGACGAUCCCUAGCUGGUCUGAGAGGAUGACCAGCCAAACUGGAACUGAGACACGGUCAAGACUCCUACGGGAGGAAGCAGUGGGGAUUAUUGCAGAAUGGGCGAAAGCCUGAUGCAGCCAUGCCGCGUGUGUUAAGAAGGCCUUCGGGUUGUAAAGCACUUUCAGCGGGGAGGCGUUACCCGCAGAAGAAGCCACGGCUAACUCCGUGCCAGCAGCCGCGGUAAUUC
This 406-nucleotide ribosomal RNA is filed under the name uncultured bacterium. RNAcentral's name for it is "partial 16S ribosomal RNA". It matches the Rfam family "Bacterial small subunit ribosomal RNA", at positions 30 to 526 of the family's 1533-position model. The record is from RNAcentral.